UAGUCCACACCGUAAACGCUGUCUACUAGCUGUGUGUGAAUUUAAUUCGUGCGUAGCGAAGCUAACGCGCUAAGUAGACCGCCUGGGGAGUACGGCCGCAAGGUUAAAACUCAAAUGAAUUGACGGGGGCCCACACAAGCGGUGGAGCAUGUGGUUUAAUUCGAUGCAACGCGAAGAACCUUACCUACUCUUGACAUACCAGAGAUUUAGCAGAGAUGCUUUAGUGCCUUCGGGAAUCUGGAUACAGGUGCUGCAUGGCUGUCGUCAGCUCGUGCCGUGAGGUGUCGGGUUAAGUCCCUUAACGAGCGCAACCCCUAUUUCUAGUUGCCAGCGGGUAAUGCCGGGGACUCUAGAGAAACUGCCCGUGCAAACGGUGAGGGAAGGUGGGGAUGACGUCAAAUCAUCACGGCCCUUACGUCCUGGGGCUACACACGUGCUACAAUGGUCGGUAC
This 452-nucleotide ribosomal RNA is filed under the name uncultured bacterium. RNAcentral's name for it is "bacterial SSU rRNA". It matches the Rfam family "Bacterial small subunit ribosomal RNA", at positions 791 to 1240 of the family's 1533-position model. The record is from RNAcentral.